GUACACUCCUACGGGAGGCAGCAGUGGGGAAUAUUGCACAAUGGGCGCAAGCCUGAUGCAGCCAUGCCGCGUGUAUGAAGAAGGCCUUCGGGUUGUAAAGUACUUUCAGCGGGGAGGAAGGCGAUAAGGUUAAUAACCUUGUUGAUUGACGUUACCCGCAGAAGAAGCACCGGCUAACUCCGUGCCAGCAGCCGCGGUAAUACGGAGGGUGCAAGCGUUAAUCGGAAUUACUGGGCGUAAAGCGCACGCAGGCGGUCUGUCAAGUCGGAUGUGAAAUCCCCGGGCUCAACCUAGGAACUGCAUUCGAAACUGGCAGGCUAGAGUCUUGUAGAGGGGGGUAGAAUUCCAGGUGUAGCGGUGAAAUGCGUAGAGAUCUGGAGGAAUACCGGUGGCGAAGGCGGCCCCCUGGACAAAGACUGACGCUCAGGUGCGAAAGCGUGGGGAGCAAACAGGAUUAGAAACCCCGGUAGUCCCAUGA
RNAcentral lists this ribosomal RNA (478 nucleotides) under uncultured organism. RNAcentral describes it as "partial 16S ribosomal RNA". It matches the Rfam family "Bacterial small subunit ribosomal RNA", at positions 331 to 800 of the family's 1533-position model. The record is from RNAcentral.